RNAcentral lists this ribosomal RNA (478 nucleotides) under uncultured bacterium. Its description in RNAcentral is "partial 16S ribosomal RNA". It matches the Rfam family "Bacterial small subunit ribosomal RNA", at positions 28 to 507 of the family's 1533-position model. The record is from RNAcentral.
GAUGAACGCUGGCGGCGUGCUUAACACAUGCAAGUCGAACGAGAAGUGGAGACGGAAACCUUCGGGCGGAAGACUUUAUUUCGAGUGGCGGACGGGUGAGUAACGCGUGGGUAACCUGCCUCAUACAGGGGGAUAACAGUUGGAAACGACUGUUAAUACUGCAUAAGACCACAGCACCGCAUGGUGCGGGGGUAAAAACUCCGGUGGUAUGAGAUGGACCCGCGUUCGAUUAGCCAGUUGGCGGGGUAACGGCCCACCAAAGCGACGAUCGAUAGCCGAUCUGAGAGGAUGACCGGCCACAUUGGGACUGAGACACGGCCCAAACUCCUACGGGAGGCAGCAGUGGGGAAUAUUGCACAAUGGGGGAAACCCUGAUGCAGCGACGCCGCGUGAGUGAAGAAGUAUUUCGGUAUGUAAAGCUCUAUCAGCAGGGAAGAAAAUGACGGUACCUGAGUAAGAAGCCCCGGCUAACUACGUG